GAAAGUAAAAAAGGGCGCAUGGCGGAUGCCUUGGCUCUCGGAGGCGAUGAAGGACGUGAUAAGCUGCGAUAAGCUUUGGGGAGGUGCAAAUGACCUUUGAUCCAGAGAUUUCCGAAUGGGACAACCCAAUAUCUUGAAGAGGUAUUAUCCAACGUUGUUGGAGGCUAACGCAGGGAACUGAAACAUCUUAGUACCUGCAGGAAAAGAAAAUAAACAAUGAUUCCCCCAGUAGUGGCGAGCGAACGGGGAACAGCCCAAACCAUCCAUGUUACGGCAUGGGUGGGGUUGUAGGACUACGCCGUUGCAUGAAGACAUCAGAGAAGAACUUUCUGGAAAGAAAGACCAUAGAGCAUGACAGUUGCGUAUUCGAAUGUUGUCGAAGCAUAGUAGUAUCCUGAGUAGCGCGGAGCACGAGGAAUUCUGCGUGAAUCUGCCGGGACCAUCCGGUAAGGCUAAAUACUCCCGAGAGACCGAUAGCGAACCAGUACCGUGAGGGAAAGGUGAAAAGCACUUCGAACAGAAGAGUGAAAUAGUUCCUGAAACCGUGCGCCUACAAGCGGUCGGAGCUCGUUAAUGAGUGACGGCGUGCCUUUUGCAUAAUGAACCUACGAGUUGCCUUUGCCGGCAAGGUUAAGUGUGACGACACACGUAUCCGAAGCGAAAGCGAGUCUGAACAGGGCGUAUAGUCGGCAGUGGCAGACGCGAAACCAAGUGAUCUACCCUUGGCCAGGUUGAAGGCUGGGUAACACCAGCUGGAGGACCGCACCAAUAAGCGUUGAAAAGCUUCUGGAUGAGCUGAGGGUAGGGGUGAAAGGCUAAUCAAACUUGGAGAUAGCUCGUACUCCCCGAAAUGCAUUUAGGUGCAGCCUUGCGGGUUACUGAUGUGAGGUAGAGCGACUGAUAAGAUGCGAGGGCUUCACCGCCUAUCAAGUCUUGACAAACUCCGAAUGCGCAUCAGUUCUACCGCAGGAGUGAGGGCAUGGGUGCUAAGGUCCGUGCCCGAGAGGAGAAGAAUCCGGACCACCUGCUAAGGUCCCGAAAUGACAGCUAAGUUAAACUAACGAAGUCUGACUGCUAAGACAGCUAGGAUGUUGGCUUGGAAGCAGCCAUUCAUUUAAAGAGUGCGUAACAGCUCACUAGUCGAGGAGUCGGGCGUGGAUAAUAAUCGGGUAUUAAGUUGUCUACCGAAGCAGUGGGAUCAUUAAUAUGAUCGGUAGGGGAGCAUUCCAGUCAGCGUCGAAGGCGUACCGUGAGGUAUUCUGGAGCGUCUGGAAAAGCAAAUGUAGGUAUAAGUAACGAUAAAGGGGGCGGGAAACCCCCUCGCCGAAAGACUAAGGUUUCCUGAUCAACGCUAAUCGGAUCAGGGUCAGUCGGGUCCUAAGGCUCAGCCGAACGGCGAUGCCGAUGGCAGAAACGGUUAAUAUUCCGUUACUACCUUCAGGAGUGACGUGGAGACGCAGUAGUGACAGUGCCGCCAUCUGACGGAAUAGAUGGUUGAAGGGUGUAGGAGUCGAUCAUGGCAGGCAAAUCCACCAUGAGAUCCGAACCUGAUAGUAUGCCGCGUCCUUCGGGACAAGGCAAUAGUGCGCGUAAGCAUGCUGCCGAGAAAAUCCGCUAAACUUAAUCCUGCAGGUACCCGUACCGCAAACGGACACACGUAGUCGGGAUGAAUAUUCUAAGGCGCUUGAGUGAUUCACGGUUAAGGAACUAGGCAAACUGACCCUGUAACUUCGGGAUAAAGGGUCCCUACCCUUUUAUGGGAGGGCGCAGAGAAUCGGUCCAGGCAACUGUUUAACAAAAACACAGGGCUGUGCCAAAUCGAAAGAUCCAGUAUACAGCCUGACACCUGCCCGGUGCUGGAAGGUUAAGAGGAGAUGUCAUCGAUAAGAGAAGCGUUGAAUUGAAGCCCCAGUAAACGGCGGCCGUAACUAUAACGGUCCUAAGGUAGCGAAAUUCCUUGUCGGGUAAGUUCCGACCUGCACGAAUGGUGUAAUGAUCUGGACGCUGUCUCAACCGUGAGCUCAGUGAAAUUGUAGUAUCGGUGAAGAUGCCGAUUACCCGCGAUGGGACGAAAAGACCCCGUGAACCUUUACUAUAGCUUAUCAUUGAAUCUGGGCACGUGAUGUGUAGGAUAGGUCGGAGGCUUUGAAGCAGGUACGCCAGUAUUUGUGGAGCCGCUGUUGAAAUACGACCCUUUAUUUGUUUGGAUUCUAACCCGUGGAACGGGGACAUUGAUUGGUGGGUAGUUUGACUGGGGUGGUCGCCUCCAAAAGCGUAACGGAGGCUUCUAAAGGUGCCCUCCGGCCGAUUGGUAACCGGCCUUAGAGUGUAAUGGCAUAAGGGCGCUUGACUGGGAGACUGACAAGUCGAUCAGGUAGGAAACUAGAGCAUAGUGAUCCGGUGUUUCCGUAUGGA
RNAcentral lists this ribosomal RNA (2415 nucleotides) under human gut metagenome. RNAcentral describes it as "bacterial LSU rRNA". It matches the Rfam family "Bacterial large subunit ribosomal RNA", at positions 1 to 2437 of the family's 2925-position model. The record is from RNAcentral.